Molecule: ribosomal RNA, 492 nt
Filed under: uncultured bacterium
Lineage: Bacteria
Description: partial 16S ribosomal RNA
Rfam family: Bacterial small subunit ribosomal RNA
Source: RNAcentral
AGUGAACGCUGGCGGUAGGCCUAACACAUGCAAGUCGAACGGCAGCACAGUAAGAGCUUGCUCUUACGGGUGGCGAGUGGCGGACGGGUGAGGAAUACAUCGGAAUCUACUUUUUCGUUGGGGAUAACGUAGGGAAACUUACGCUAAUACCGCAUACGACCUACGGGUGAAAGCAGGGGAUCUUCGGACCUUGCGCGAUUGAAUGAGCCGAUGUCGGAUUAGCUAGUUGGCGGGGUAAAGGCCCACCAAGGCGACGAUCCGUAGCUGGUCUGAGAGGAUGAUCAGCAACACUGGAACUGAGGCACGGUCCAGACUCCUACGGGAGGCAGCAGUGGGGAAUAUUGGACAAUGGGCGCAAGCCUGAUCCAGCCAUACCGCGUGGGUGAAGAAGGCCUUCGGGUUGUAAAGCCCUUUUGUUGGGAAAGAAAAGCAGCAGGUUAAUACCCCGCUGUUCUGACGGUACCCAAAGAAUAAGCACCGGCUAACUUCGUG